GAUGAACGCUGGCGGCGUGCCUAAUACAUGCAAGUCGAGCGAACAGAUGAGGAGCUUGCUCCUCUGACGUUAGCGGCGGACGGGUGAGUAACACGUGGAUAACCUACCUAUAAGACUGGGAUAACUUCGGGAAACCGGAGCUAAUACCGGAUAAUCUAUUGAACCGCAUGGUUCAAUAGUGAAAGACGGUUUUGCUGUCACUUAUAGAUGGAUCCGCGCCGCAUUAGCUAGUUGGUAAGGUAACGGCUUACCAAGGCAACGAUGCGUAGCCGACCUGAGAGGGUGAUCGGCCACACUGGAACUGAGACACGGUCCAGACUCCUACGGGAGGCAGCAGUAGGGAAUCUUACGCAAUGGGCGAAAGCCUGACGGAGCAACGCCGCGUGAGUGAUGAAGGUCUUCGGAUCGUAAAACUCUGUUAUUAGGGAAGAACAAAUGUGUAAGUAACUAUGCACGUCUUGACGGUACCUAAUCAGAAAGCCACGGCUAACUACGUG
RNAcentral lists this ribosomal RNA (497 nucleotides) under uncultured bacterium. Its description in RNAcentral is "partial 16S ribosomal RNA". It matches the Rfam family "Bacterial small subunit ribosomal RNA", at positions 28 to 507 of the family's 1533-position model. The record is from RNAcentral.